RNAcentral lists this unclassified non-coding RNA (390 nucleotides) under uncultured Clavulinaceae. RNAcentral describes it as "sequence contains ITS1". The stretch from base 1 to 105 matches the Rfam family "5.8S ribosomal RNA", at positions 50 to 154 of the family's 154-position model. Lineage: Eukaryota; Fungi; Basidiomycota; Agaricomycetes; Cantharellales; Hydnaceae. The record is from RNAcentral.
GAAAUGCGAUAAGUAAUGUGAAUUGCAGAAUUCAGUGAAUCAUCGAAUCUUUGAACGCACCUUGCGCUCCCCGGUAUUCCAGGGAGCACACCUGUUCGAGUGUCGUGAAAUUCUCAAGCUGGAUGUUUUUUUUUUUCAUCUCAGUUUGGUGUUGGGCUUUGCCGUGCUCCUUCAUUGGAACGGCUGGUCUUAAAAAUAUUAGCCGACUCUCAUGUGGGAUUGGUUCUACUCAGUGUGAUAAUAUUAUGAUUGUGACCGCUGAGGACAUCUUUUAUGGGAUGGCCAAGCUCUAUUUUGGGUUGCUUCUAAUCCUGGAUUUACAGAUUUUUGGAUCUGUUUUCCACUUACGAUUUUGGCCUCGAAUCAGGUGGGACUACCCGCUGAACUUAA